RNAcentral lists this ribosomal RNA (253 nucleotides) under uncultured bacterium. Its description in RNAcentral is "partial 16S ribosomal RNA". It matches the Rfam family "Bacterial small subunit ribosomal RNA", at positions 524 to 776 of the family's 1533-position model. The record is from RNAcentral.
GACGGAGGAUGCAAGCGUUAUCCGGAAUGAUUGGGCGUAAAGCGUCCGCAGGUGGCAGUUCAAGUCUGCUGUCAAAGACCGGGGCUUAACCUCGGAAAGGCAGUGGAAACUGAACAGCUAGAGUAUGGUAGGGGCAAAGGGAAUUCCUGGUGUAGCGGUGAAAUGCGUAGAGAUCAGGAAGAACAUCGGUGGCGAAGGCGCUUUGCUGGACCAUAACUGACACUCAGGGACGAAAGCUAGGGGAGCGAAUGGG